GACGAACGCUGGCGGCGUGCCUAAUACAUGCAAGUAGAACGCUGAAGGAGGAGCUUGCUUCUCUGGAUGAGUUGCGAACGGGUGAGUAGCGCGUAGGUAACCUGCCUGGUAGUGGGGGAUAACUAUUGGAAACGAUAGCUAAUACCGCAUAAUAGCAGUUGUUGCAUGACAACUGUUUGAAAGGUGCAAUUGCACCACUACCAGAUGGAGCUGCGUUGGGUUAGCUAGGUGGUGGGGUAACGGCACACCAAGGCGACGAUACAGAGCCGACGUGAGAGGGGGGUCCGCCACACUGGGAGUGAGACACGGCCCAAGCUCCCACGGGAAGCAGCCGGAGGGCAUCUUCGGGCAUGGGCGGAAGACUGACCGCGCACCGCCGCGUGAGUGUAGAAGGUUUUCGGGUCGUAAAGCUCGGUUGUAAGGGAAGAACGAGUGUGAGAGUGUAAAGUUCACAGUGUGACGGUAUCUGACCAGAAAGGGACGGCUAACUACGUG
This 495-nucleotide ribosomal RNA is filed under the name uncultured bacterium. RNAcentral describes it as "partial 16S ribosomal RNA". It matches the Rfam family "Bacterial small subunit ribosomal RNA", at positions 28 to 507 of the family's 1533-position model. The record is from RNAcentral.